AACGCUUAUUCGUUAAAUUGCGAUUAGAAAAAACGAUUGUAGUGGCACUAAAUCGUCAAAUUGCGAUUAAGAAAAACGAGAAUCGUAAAAAUGACGAUACUCGUAUUUUUAUUUACGAGUGCCUUCAGCUCUCGUUCAGCUUUCGUUUUGUCAAAUGUCAUUUUGUUUUUGUUUGGUUGGUUUUUGUUUUGUUAAGUGAAAAAAUACCUACAAAUAAUUCUAAGCAGUUGGAUUUGCUGGUAGCUUUUAUGGAAACCAAUCCAAACAUAGCAAAAAAUUACUUGCCGACGAGCCAAGCCAAAGCCAAAUCCAAAAUUAUUUGGAAGGCUUUGACUGAUAAGCUAAAUGCAUGCGGUCCUCCAGAGAAACCAAUGGAUGGUUGGAAAAGUGUAUAUAAAGAUUUUGGGUACAAUCUUAAGGGCAAAAUGCGUGGAAAUUUGCUUACUUACGUUGAACUUGGAAGGCUCAUUGGGUUCGAUGAAUCUCUUAAAACUCUUCUUUUUAUACGCAUUUCCUCUUCUUUGUUAGUUUGGGAUUCAUCUUCGCUUUCAAGGAAAUAGUCGCAGUGAAAAAACAUUUUAUAGAAUUUAUGCAAAUUACAUUUAUUUUUGAAACUUC
This is a long non-coding RNA of Eupeodes corollae, 618 nucleotides long. RefSeq lists it as uncharacterized. The transcript is spliced from 3 exons. The record is from RefSeq and is a predicted model, not a curated record. NCBI's taxonomy places the organism in Eukaryota, Metazoa, Arthropoda, Insecta, Diptera, Syrphidae.